UUUAACAAAACGAAUAAUUAGAACGCAAUGAUUAGUCGAUCGCUAGCUAGUUCCACCAAAGUAAUGAUCACAGUAUUGGUUUGACUAUGUCUGUUUCCAGGAAUUAUUUAUGAACGUGCGGCCGAUAUUACUUUUAAUUUCCUUGCUGUUAGAUCCGAUCGAGACGUUAGAUCAAGUGAAGCCGGACCUGUGUAUACCUCAAUUGCCUUCCCGAAGUCAUCAGCUCCACUAUCCAGAUGCACGGGAAAUUACUUGACCCAAUUCAAUCUUUCCCAUGAAAAUAAAACUUCAUAAUUAAAAUCCCCCAUUACAAUCCAUUUCUAGCUGUCAAACGUUCUUGAUAUUUGAUAAAAAUCCUCCUAUAGAUGCAUGUUGUCCAGGUAAAUCCGUGAUCUCUAUUUUGAUUCUGGGUCUAUUUUUAAAAUUUAAACGUCCUAAUUUUGUUUUGUUUUGUUUUUAUCCAAGCUCCCAAAAUCCGAAUAUUGGGGUUUUUAAUUUAAACAUACCCGAUAUAUUCUUAUAUCUGAAGUUCAGUGUAUAUAUAUAUAAUUAACAUAUAAACGAUUUUGAAGAAAUUUAGUGUGAGCGCGAUGAAAACAUUAUUGCGUGAAGAUGCUAGCUAGUAAUAAAAGAUAGAGACAGUAUACAUAGCCAAAAACCCUGAUUAGGGUUGAUUAUAACUAGCUCCUUCGGUUACCAUGUAC
This 704-nucleotide long non-coding RNA is filed under the name Zostera marina. Its description in RNAcentral is "long non-coding RNA (ZMAR_LNC005910)". Lineage: Eukaryota; Viridiplantae; Streptophyta; Magnoliopsida; Alismatales; Zosteraceae. The record is from RNAcentral.